UUAGAUUAAGUAACAAAGGGCGUACGGUGAAUGCCUAGGUGUUUGCUAGCGAUGAAGGACGUGAAAGGCUGCGAUAAGCAGCGGGGAGCCGCCAAAUAGGCCUCGAUCCGCUGAUUUCCGAAUGGGGCAACCCAAUCUGGCGUUAAACCCAGAUUAUCCUUUAGAUGAAUACAUAGUCUUUAGGAAGCGAACCCGGAGAACUGAAACAUCUCAGUACCCGGAGGAAGAGACAUCAAUUGAGAUUCCCUUAGUAGCGGCGAGCGAACGGGGAAGAGCCUAAACUACGUGAGUGUGAUAGCCCGCAGGCGUUGCUCACGUAGGGUUGUGGGACGUAUAUCCCUGGUAUUGCGGUGCCAGGCUGGAGUUACAAAGUAAAUGCAUAGUCAAACGGUACUGGAAAGACCGGCCAUAGAGGGUAAAAGCCCCGUCGACGACAUGUGUUUGCCUCCAGUUAUACGCUCCCGAGUACAAUGGGGCACGAGAAAUCCUGUUGGAAGCUGGGUGGACCAUCAUCCAAGGCUAAAUACACGCAAACAACCGAUAGUGCACAAGUACCGUGAGGGAAAGGUGAAAAGAACCCCUAUAAGGGGAGUGAAAUAGACCCUGAAACCGUACGCCUACAAGCAGUGGGAGCACGAUGUUCAUCUUCGGAUGGACCGUGUGACUGCGUGCCUUUUGCAUAAUGAGUCAGCGAGUUGCUGUUACGUAGCAAGGUUAAACCGUUCUAGGUGAAGCCGUAGGGAAACCGAGUCUUAACCGGCGAAUAAGUUGCGUGACGCAGACCCGAAACCAAGUGAGCUACCCUUGACCAGGUUGAAGUUCCGGUAAAACGGAAUGGAGGACCGAACCCACUGACGUUGAAAAGCCAGGGGAUGAGUUGAGGGUAGGGGUGAAAGGCCAAUCAAACUUGGAGAUAGCUGGUUCUCUCCGAAACCUAUUUAGGUAGGGCCUCGGAACAUUCACCAACGGAGGUAGAGCACUGAAUGGGUAAGGGGGCUAACCGCCUACCGACCCCAAUCAAACUCCGAAUGCCGUUGAGUGUUAUUCCGGGAGUCAGUCUACGGGUGAUAACGUCCGUAGGCGAGAGGGCAACAACCCAGAUCGCCAGCUAAGGCCCCUAAGUGACGACUAAGUGGAAAAGGAUGUGGAAGCACACAGACAACCAGGAGGUUGGCUUAGAAGCAGCCAUCCUUGAAAGAAAGCGUAAUAGCUCACUGGUCAAGUGAAUCCGCGCCGAAAAUACACCGGGGCUUAAGUCGUCCGCCGAAGCUGCGAAUUGCACAUCCUCCUUCGGGAGCGUGCAGUGGUAGGAGAGCAUUCCAGCCGCCGUCGAAGGGAUACCGAUAAGGAGUCCUGGAGGUUCUGGAAGAGAGUAUGCUGACGUGAGUAACAACGAAACCGGGUGAGAAACCCGGUCGCCGAAAGCCGAAGGAUUCCUGGGCCAUGCUAAUCAGCCCAGGGUGAGUCGGGACCUAAGUCGAGGCCGAAAGGCGUAGGCGAUGGCAAGUGGGCAAAUAUUCCCACACCACGAGGCGAGGUGAUGAAGAUGAGGGACAACGGAGAACGCAAGGUCCGCCGGUAAUUGGAUUCCGGUUCAACCCCGUAGGCAGUUUGAGUAGGAGGCCAUAGGCCACAAACGCUCGAAUAUUAUGCCGAGAGGGGAGGAGGAAGGCUCCUUAUUUGGAGCCUAUGUCAACGGAUUGUAGCGCCGCUUCCAAGAAAAAUCUCGCAUCCGAGCCCGUAUCGUGCCCGUACCGCAAACCAACACAGGUCGGCUAGUAGAGUAUACUAAGGCGUUUGAGAGAACCCUGGUUAAGGAACUCGGCAAAUUGACACCGUAACUUCGGGAGAAGGUGUGCCCCCGGUCAGUGAGAGCCCACGCGGCUCGUAGCUAAAAGGGGUUGCAGAGAGCAGGGGGUAGCGACUGUUUACCAAAAACACAGGACUCUGCGAACUCUAGAGAGAGGACGUAUAGGGUCUGACGCCUGCCCGGUGCUGGAAGGUUAAGGGGAGUGGUUAACCGCAAGGUGAAGCUGCGAACCGAAGCCCCAGUAAACGGCGGCCGUAACUAUAACGGUCCUAAGGUAGCGAAAUUCCUUGGCGGGUAAGUUCCGUCCUGCACGAAUGGCGUAACGACUUCCCCACUGUCUCAACCAGGGACUCAGUGAAAUCGAAUUAGCGGUGAAGAUGCCGUUUACCCGCGGCAAGACGGAAAGACCCCGUGAACCUUGACUGUAGCUUGGCACUGGUAUUCGGGUUCAUCUGUGUAGGAUAGGUGGGAGACUGGGAAGCGGGCACGCUAGUGUCGGUGGAGUCGUCCUUGAAAUACCACCCUGAUGAACCUGGAUGUCUAACCUGGGACCCUGAAGCGGGUCUGGGGACAGUGUCUGGUGGGCAGUUUGACUGGGGCGGUCGCCUCCUAAAAUGUAACGGAGGCGCGCAAAGGUUGGCUCAGGCUGUAUAGAAAUCAGCCGCAGAGUGUAAAGGCAUAAGCCAGCUUGACUGUGAGACAUACAGGUCGAACAGGUACGAAAGUAGGCCUUAGUGAUCCGGUGAUUCCAUAUGGAAGGGUCAUCGCUCAACGGAUAAAAGGUACUCCGGGGAUAACAGGCUUAUCUCCUCCAAGAGUUCACAUCGACGAGGAGGUUUGGCACCUCGAUGUCGGCUCAUCACAUCCUGGGGCUGGAGCAGGUCCCAAGGGUUCGGCUGUUCGCCGAUUAAAGUGGUACGCGAGCUGGGUUCAGAACGUCGUGAGACAGUUCGGUCCCUAUCUGCCGUGGGCGCAGGAAAAUUGAGAGGAAUUGCCCCUAGUACGAGAGGACCGGGGUGAACGCAUCCCUAGUGUACCGGUUGUCGCGCCAGCGGCACCGCCGGGUAGCUACAUGCGGACAGGAUAACCGCUGAAAGCAUCUAAGCGGGAAGCCCCCCUCAAGAUUAAUUUUCCCUUCGGGUUUAACCCCGACUGCAAGGUCCGUCGAAGACGACGACGUGGAUAGGCCUCAAGUGGACGCGUGGCAACACGUGGAGCUGAGAGGUACUAAUCGACCGAGAGGCUUAAUCUUUGAUUUGCUUGCUUUCGACUCCAGGGUCGAUUGGACGAGCUUAAUCGAUAAGAUGCCUCGUAUUCGCCCAACGCUUUAUAAUAAUAUCGCGGAAACUCAAAAGACACUGUCCUGUGCGAUUUUCCCUGCGCCCCCGG
RNAcentral lists this ribosomal RNA (3199 nucleotides) under Bradymonas sediminis. RNAcentral's name for it is "partial 23S ribosomal RNA". It matches the Rfam family "Bacterial large subunit ribosomal RNA". Lineage: Bacteria; Deltaproteobacteria; Bradymonadales; Bradymonadaceae. The record is from RNAcentral.